CGUGACGAUCCUGCCUCCUAAAUAUAUAAUUAUAAAUCCUACUAACUACUAUCUCACAAUGGUGACUUCGUGUGCUGUUUCUGACUGCCAGAAUAGACAAGGGAGAAACCCCAAGUCAUAUUAUCGUUUUCCCAGUGAUCCCGAACGGAGAAGGUUGUGGACUGCGGCUCUUAAGAAACCGUUUGGUUGGCAGCCGACAAACAGCUGUCGUGUAUGCAGUGAUCAUUUCAUCUCAGGAGCCAAAAGCAGUGAUCCGUUGUCACCAGACUACACACCAUGAUCAGUGUUCAACUGUUUGACAUCUCCCCAGAAACGACAACAUCAAACUUACUUGAGGAGGACAGACUCCAAAAAGAGGAGAAAAGAAGCGAGUGCUAGAUGUGAAGCAGCACAAGGCUUGGUGAAUGUGUCAUACUCAGAGACUCCGGCAACAUCUACUACAAAAACUGUACUGCAACAUCAACACAAAAAUCUAGCUCCAGCACACCGAGUCAAUGGGAAGUACAAACAGAUCUUAGAUUUGCUGACAUUACUUCUGUACAUGAUGAAUGUCAGGCUUUACGUAAAGAAAAUGCUCUCCUCAAGACCAAGAUCGCAAACCUUGCCAUUGAUGAAGAUUCUCUUCAGAACAAUGAUGAAAAAGUGAAAACUGUAACUGGUCUGUGUUCAUUUCAUGUCAUCACAGGAAUACUGGCUCUUAUAUCUGUUCAUUUGAGACCUUCAAAGACUUUAUCUAAUUUUCAGCAGCUACUGAUGACAUUAAUGCGUUUACGGUUUAAUAUGAACACUCAAUACAUUGCAUUUGUUUUUGAUAUUCAUGUAUCAACUGUAUCUCGUAUUUUCACAAAUGUGUUAAAUUUGCUGUACACACAGCUUGUCCCAUUGACAGUACGCUGUCCAGCAAGAGAAGAACUAAGAAAAACAAUGCCAAGAUGUUUUAAGGAAAAAUGUCCAAAGUGUUCAAGUGUUAAAGAUUGUUUUGAAGUUUUUAUUGAGAAACCCUCUUCAUUUUCUGCCCGAUCACAAACAUAUUCACAUUACAAAGCACACAAUACAGUUAAGUAUUUGAUAAGUAUUUCUCCCCAAGGUACAAUUACAUUUAUUUCUAAGGGUUGGGGAGGCAGAACAAGUGACAAAGAAUUAACUGAAAAGUCUGGUUAUUUAAGGAAAUUAUUGCAAGGUGACACCGUCUUGGCCGAUAGAGGGUUUGACAUGCAGGACACAUUUGGUGUAUAUGGUGUUAAAUUACAAAUUCCAUCAUUCACAAGAGGUAAGCACCAGCUAAGUGCCAUGGAGGUGGAGACAACAAGAGUGAUUGCCUCUGUUCGCAUUCAUGUGGAGAGAGUAAUAGGUGUAGUAAGGCAGAAAUAUACUAUGUUGGAGGGAACCAUCCCUAUUACCCUCUUAAAAAAA
Molecule: long non-coding RNA, 1413 nt
Organism: Asterias rubens (European starfish)
Lineage: Eukaryota; Metazoa; Echinodermata; Asteroidea; Forcipulatida; Asteriidae
Exons: 2
Source: RefSeq, a predicted model, not a curated record